Molecule: ribosomal RNA, 497 nt
Filed under: uncultured bacterium
Lineage: Bacteria
Description: partial 16S ribosomal RNA
Rfam family: Bacterial small subunit ribosomal RNA
Source: RNAcentral
GACGAACGCUGGCGGCGUGCCUAAUACAUGCAAGUUGAGCGCUGAAGGUUGGUACUUGUACCAACUGGAUGAGCAGCGAACGGGUGAGUAACGCGUGGGGAAUCUGCCUUUGAGCGGGGGACAACAUCUGGAAACGAAUGCUAAUACCGCAUAAUAACUUUAAACACAAGUUUCAAGUUUGAAAGAUGCAAUUGCCUCACUCAAAGAUGAUCCCGCGUUGUAUUAGCUAGUUGGUGAGGUAAAGGCUCACCAAGGCGAUGAUACAUAGGCGACCUGAGAGGGUGGUCGGCCAAAUUGGGACUGGGACACGGCCCAAACUCCUACGGGGAGCAGCAGUAGGGAAUCUUCGGCAAUGGACGAAAGUCUUAACGAGCAACGCCGGGGGAGUGAAGGAGGGUUUCGGAUCGGAAAACUCUGUUGGUAGAGAAGAAAGUUGGUGAGAGUGGAAAGCUCAUGAAGUGACGGUAACUAACCAGAAAGGAACGGCUAACUACGUG